RNAcentral lists this ribosomal RNA (407 nucleotides) under uncultured bacterium. Its description in RNAcentral is "partial 16S ribosomal RNA". It matches the Rfam family "Bacterial small subunit ribosomal RNA", at positions 30 to 526 of the family's 1533-position model. The record is from RNAcentral.
AUUGAACGCUGGCGGCAGGCCUAACACAUGCAAGUCGAGCGGAGCGGCGGACGGGUGAGUAAUGCAUAGGAAUCUGCCUGGUCGUGGGGGAUAACGUCCGGCAACGGGCGCUAAUACCACAUACUAUCAGAUGAGCCUAGGUCGGAUUAGCUAGUGGGUGGGGUAAAGGCAUACCAAGGCGAAGAUACGUACCUGGUCUGAGAGGAUGAUCAGUCACACUGGAAAGGAGAAACGGUCCAGACUCCUACGGGAGGCAGCAGUGGGGAAUAUUGGAUAAUGGGCGAAAGCCUGAUCCAGCCAUGCCGCGUGUGUGAAGAAGGUCUGCGGAUUGUAAAGCACUUUAGGUUGGGAGGCGUUACCAACAGAAUAAGCACCGGCUAACUUCGUGCCAGCAGCCGCGGUAAUAC